AGGAAUUUUAAUUAAAAUGUGUUUGGUCUCAGGGUCCUAUUUCUGGCAUGUGAUUUUCACAUUAAUUAUUUCCAAACUUGUGUGUAUGUGUGUGUGUGCAUGUGUAACUUUUCACUGAAAAACAUUACUGAUUCAUAGCGCUACUCAUACACCGUAAUGUCAUUUACUUGUGUGUGUGUGCAUUCACAGCAGAAAUUAUCUCAUCAAAUACAAUGUCUUUUGCAAUAACAUACAUAAACACAUUUUUUUGUAGGAGAAACACGAAGUGUUACUUUUGCACCAAACCUUCUUAAAUAUUUAAUGUAAUAUACAUGAUCCCUUUGAGGUGACAACAUUGACCAGAUGACCUUUUGAAAUGGAGCACUCUUCAUAGGACCUGGUCCAUAAUUCUCUUUUUCAUAAUUUGUAAUUAAUACCAAAAUCUAUCAAUUUCACAUACAGAUUUUCUAUAGAUAAAUAUAAGUAUGCAAAGGUUACUGAGGGUUUUAACAUAGAUAUCCAUUAAUUGGGACUUUCUCUUUUCCAAGGACUUGGCACAUUGUUGGACCAUCUUAUAAUCUAAAUCAUUAAGAUCAUUAUUUGUCUAUAUGUACAUAUAAUAUUUGAUAUUGGCUAUUUACCCACAAAUAGUAUUAAAUAUUCUUAUGAGAAAAGAGUAAAGCAGAAUCAGAAAAUUAAGUUAUAGUUGGAUAAGACAGAGAAAAUGAAAGAAAAAAGUGGGGUCCCCAUGAUACAAAUCUACUAUUUUUCAUAUUAAUUUGGUGCUCACUGGCUAGAAAAGGAAUUUUCUUUAUAAUUUCAAAAUUUCUAAACGUGAAAUUCCAUUAGUGAUAAAAUUUUAACUUCUGUUUCUUUUUUCAUAAUAAAUAUCCUUAGCUCUUUGACUUUUGAAAAAGACUAACUAAAAUUUGGCUGUUAGUAUGAUAGGGCAAAAUUUUGGUAACAGACAAUCAUGUGCUAAAAUUGUUCCUCUGUAGGAACCAAUUGGAAAUACAUGGAACAAGCAACUGGACUCAGCCAUGGAGAUAUUAGGGACUGAGGGAACUCAGUAAGAGCUCCCCCAAGACUAACUGAUCCUCUAUUCUGAUCCUCAGGCCCCUUAUAUCUUUUAUUACCUGUUUGAGAUGCUAAUUCACUUCCUGCCACUGUCAGACAUCAGUCCUCCCUGGAGAAUAACUGUG
This 1181-nucleotide long non-coding RNA is filed under the name Mus musculus (house mouse). Its description in RNAcentral is "long non-coding RNA chr5:15805563-15806744". Lineage: Eukaryota; Metazoa; Chordata; Mammalia; Rodentia; Muridae. The record is from RNAcentral.